Molecule: ribosomal RNA, 420 nt
Filed under: Epinephelus itajara (Atlantic goliath grouper)
Lineage: Eukaryota; Metazoa; Chordata; Actinopteri; Perciformes; Serranidae
Description: partial 12S ribosomal RNA
Rfam family: Bacterial small subunit ribosomal RNA
Source: RNAcentral
UAGAUACCCCACUAUGCUUUGCCCUAAACAUCGAUAGCCUUAUACAACCACUAUCCGCCCGGGGACUACGAGCAGCAGCUUAAAACCCAAAGGACUUGGCGGUGCUUUAGACCCACCUAGAGGAGCCUGUUCUAAAACCGAUAACCCCCGUUCAACCUCACCUUUCCUUGUUCUCCCCGCCUAUAUACCGCCGUCGUCAGCUUACCCUAUGAAGGUCCCUUAGUAAGCACAAUUGGCACAACCCAAAACGUCAGGUCGAGGUGUAGCGUAUGGAAAGGGAAGAAAUGGGCUACAUUCCCUGCCACAGUGAAUUACGGAUAAUAUUACUGAAACGUAUAUCUAGAAGGAGGAUUUAGCAGUAAGUAGAAAAUAGAGCGUUCUACUGAAGCCGGCCCUGAAGCGCGCACACACCGCCCGUCA